UACGUAGGGGGCAAGCGUUGUCCGGAAUCAUUGGGCGUAAAGAGCGUGUAGGCGGUCUGUCGCGUCGGUCGUGAAAACUUGGGGCUUAACCCUGAGCUUGCGGUCGAUACGGGCAUGACUGGAGUUCGGCAGGGGAGACUGGAAUUCCUGGUGUAGCGGUGAAAUGCGCAGAUAUCAGGAGGAACACCGGUGGCGAAGGCGGGUCUCUGGGCCGAUACUGACGCUGAGGAGCGAAAGCGUGGGGAGCAAACGGG
This 254-nucleotide ribosomal RNA is filed under the name uncultured bacterium. Its description in RNAcentral is "partial 16S ribosomal RNA". It matches the Rfam family "Bacterial small subunit ribosomal RNA", at positions 524 to 776 of the family's 1533-position model. The record is from RNAcentral.